UAGGGAAUCUUCGGCAAUGGGGGGAACCCUGACCGAGCAACGCCGCGUGAGUGAAGAAGGUUUUCGGAUCGUAAAGCUCUGUUGUUAAGGAAGAACGAGUGUGAGAAUGGAAAGUUCAUGCUGUGACGGUACUUAACCAGAAAGGGACGGCUAACUACGUGCCAGCAGCCGCGGUAAUACGUAGGUCCCGAGCGUUGUCCAGAUUUAUUGGGCGUAAAGCGAGCGCAGGCGGUUAGAAAAGUCUGAAGUGAAAGGCAGUGGCUCAACCAUUGUAGGCUUUGGAAACUGUUUAACUUGAGUGCAGAAGGGGAGAGUGGAAUUCCAUGUGUAGCGGUGAAAUGCGUAGAUAUAUGGAGGAACACCGGUGGCGAAAGCGGCUCUCUGGUCUGUAACUGACGCUGAGGCUCGAAAGCGUGGGGAGCGAACAGG
RNAcentral lists this ribosomal RNA (429 nucleotides) under Verrucomicrobiota bacterium. Its description in RNAcentral is "Verrucomicrobia bacterium partial 16S ribosomal RNA". It matches the Rfam family "Bacterial small subunit ribosomal RNA", at positions 355 to 776 of the family's 1533-position model. Lineage: Bacteria; Pseudomonadati; Verrucomicrobiota. The record is from RNAcentral.